RNAcentral lists this ribosomal RNA (454 nucleotides) under uncultured bacterium. RNAcentral describes it as "partial 16S ribosomal RNA". It matches the Rfam family "Bacterial small subunit ribosomal RNA", at positions 341 to 792 of the family's 1533-position model. The record is from RNAcentral.
ACGGAAGGCAGCAGUGAGGAAUAUUGGUCAAUGGGCGCAAGCCUGAACCAGCCAUGCCGCGUGCAGGAAUAAGGCCCUAUGGGUCGUAAACUGCUUUUGCUGGGGAGCAAUAAGGUCUACGUGUAGGCUGAUGAGAGUACCCAGCGAAUAAGCAUCGGCUAACUCCGUGCCAGCAGCCGCGGUAAUACGGAGGAUGCAAGCGUUAUCCGGAUUUAUUGGGUUUAAAGGGUGCGUAGGCUGUUGUUCAAGUCAGAGGUGAAAGCCCGGGGCUCAACUCCGGAACUGCCUUUGAUACUGGGCGGCUUGAAUCCUGUUGCCGUGGGAGGAAUGAGUAGUGUAGCGGUGAAAUGCAUAGAUAUUACUCAGAACACCGAUUGCGAAGGCAUCUCACGAAUCCGUCAUUGACGCUGAGGCACGAAAGCGUGGGGAUCAAACAGGAUUAGAUACCCUGGUA